Molecule: ribosomal RNA, 468 nt
Filed under: uncultured bacterium
Lineage: Bacteria
Description: partial 16S ribosomal RNA
Rfam family: Bacterial small subunit ribosomal RNA
Source: RNAcentral
GACGAACGCUGGCGGCGUGCUUAACACAUGCAAGUCGAACGGAAAGGCCCUGCUUUUGUGGGGUGCUCGAGUGGCGAACGGGUGAGUAACACGUGAGUACCCUGUCCCUGACUUUGGGGUAACUUCAGGCAACUGGGGCUAAUACCGGCUAGGAGCUCCUGCUGCAUGGUGGGGGCUGGAAAGUUUCGGCGGUUGGGGAUUGACUCGCCGCUUAUCAGCUUGUUGCGUGGGUAGUGUCUUACCAAGGCUUUGACGGGUAGCCGAGCUGAGCGGGUCACCGGCCACAUUGGGACUGAGAUGCGGCACAGACUCGAACGGGACGCAAGGGUGGGGAAUAGUACACAGGAGGCGGAGCGAUGGCCCGACCACGCCGCGCGGGGGAUGACGGGCAGGGGGUUGGAUACCAAAGUCGCCUGUGACGAAACGUGAAUGACGGUAAUGGGUGAAGAAGCACCGGCUAACUACGUG